Molecule: ribosomal RNA, 425 nt
Filed under: uncultured bacterium
Lineage: Bacteria
Description: bacterial SSU rRNA
Rfam family: Bacterial small subunit ribosomal RNA
Source: RNAcentral
GAAUCUUGCGCAAUGGGCGAAAGCUUGACGCAGCCACGCCGCGUGGAUGAUGAAGGCCUUCGGGUCGUAAAGUCCUUUUCUGAAGGAAGAACAGUUUGCAGAGGAAAUGCUGCGGAUUUGACGGUACUUCAGGAAUAAGCCACGGCUAACUCUGUGCCAGCAGCCGCGGUAAUACAGAGGUGGCAAGCGUUGUUCGGAAUUACUGGGCGUAAAGGGAGCGCAGGCGGCCAGGUAAGUCUGGAGUGCAAGCCCGGGGCUCAACCCCGGAAUUGCUUUGGAUACUACUUGGCUUGAGUACGUCAGAGGUGAGCGGAAUUCCAGGUGUAGCGGUGAAAUGCGUAGAUAUCUGGAGGAACAUCGGUGGCGAAGGCGGCUCACUGGGACGAAACUGACGCUGAGGCUCGAAAGCGUGGGGAGCGAACGGG